AUUGAACGCUGGCGGCAGGCCUAACACAUGCAAGUCGAACGAGUGGCGGACGGGUGAGAAAUGUCAGGGAAACUGCCUGAUGGAGGGGGAUAACUACUGGAAACGGUAGCUAAUACCGCAUACCAUCGGAUGUGCCCAGAUGGGAUUAGCUAGUAGGAGGGGUAAAGGCUCACCUAGGCGACGAUCCCUAGCUGGUCUGAGAGGAUGACCAGCCACACUGGAGCUGAUACACAGUCCAGACUCCUACGGUAGGCAGCAGUGGGGAAUAUUGGACAAUGGGCGCAAGCCUGAUGCAGCCAUGCCGCGUGUAUUAAGAAGGCCUUCGGGGUGUAAAGUACGUUCAUCGGGGAGGCGUUACCCGCAGAAGAAGCACCGGCUAACUCCGUGCCAGCAGCCGCGGUAAUAC
Molecule: ribosomal RNA, 406 nt
Filed under: uncultured bacterium
Lineage: Bacteria
Description: partial 16S ribosomal RNA
Rfam family: Bacterial small subunit ribosomal RNA
Source: RNAcentral